CUGAAUGCUUGAGGUUGAGCUGGCACUGCAGGUGCUCACCUCUUUCAUCCACACUCACCUGUGCACUAUUUGGGGAGCAAUCCCUGUUUUUACACACACUUUUAAAUUCAAUAGAAUGUAUUUCUUAUGUGAUAACACGCAUAUAUA
This 147-nucleotide unclassified non-coding RNA is filed under the name uncultured Basidiomycota. Its description in RNAcentral is "sequence contains ITS1". Lineage: Eukaryota; Fungi; Basidiomycota. The record is from RNAcentral.